CCUACGGGAGGCAGCAGUGAGGAAUAUUGGUCAAUGGGCGGAAGCCUGAACCAGCCAAGCCGCGUGCAGGAUGACGGCCCUAUGGGUUGUAAACUGCUUUUAUACGAGAACAAAGCCCGGUACGUGUAGCGGUCUGCGUGUAUCCUAAGAAUAAGCAUCGGCUAACUCCGUGCCAGCAGCCGCGGUAAUACGGAAGAUUCGGGCGUUAUCCGGAUUUAUUGGGUUUAAAGGGUGCGUAGGCGGGUUGUUAAGUGUGCGGUGAAAUGUGCGGGCUCAACCCGCGCCUGGCAGCGGAAACUGGCAGACUUGAGUCGGCGAGAAGCACGCGGAAUGCGUGGUGUAGCGGUGAAAUGCUUAGAUAUGGCGAAGAACUCCGAUUGCGAAGGCAGCGUGCUGGCGCGAAACUGACGCUGAUGCACGAAAGCGCGGGUAUCGAACAGGAUUAGAUACCCUUGUAGUC
RNAcentral lists this ribosomal RNA (460 nucleotides) under uncultured bacterium. RNAcentral's name for it is "partial 16S ribosomal RNA". It matches the Rfam family "Bacterial small subunit ribosomal RNA", at positions 338 to 795 of the family's 1533-position model. The record is from RNAcentral.